RNAcentral lists this ribosomal RNA (300 nucleotides) under uncultured Saprospira sp. Its description in RNAcentral is "bacterial SSU rRNA". It matches the Rfam family "Bacterial small subunit ribosomal RNA", at positions 115 to 413 of the family's 1533-position model. The record is from RNAcentral. Lineage: Bacteria; Pseudomonadati; Bacteroidota; Saprospiria; Saprospirales; Saprospiraceae.
GCGUACAAAACCUACCUUUUACUGGGGGAAAGUCGCUGGAAACGGCGAAUAAUCCCGCAUACGACUUUAUUAACACAUGUUUAUAAAGUGAAAGGCUUCGGCUGGUAAAAGAUGGUUGUGCGUCCCAUUAGCUAGAUGGUAAGGUAACGGCUUACCAUGGCGACGAUGGGUAGGGGGCGUGAGAGCGUGGUCCCCCACACGGGUACUGAGACACGGACCCGACUCCUACGGGAGGCAGCAGUAAGGAAUAUUGGUCAAUGGAGGAAACUCUGAACCAGCCAUGCCGCGUGUGUGAUGAAU